ACCUCCUGGCGUUUCCUGCCCUCGAGCACUAGAGCCUCCCGCCCCACGGAGGAAAUCCAUUUCCUCCUAGUCUAUCCGAAGUAGAUCCAUGGCCACAGAGCUUCGUUUCCGACUCAGUGAUCUCCCCACAGGGGAAACGAGAUCCGUCAGAGCUCCGUUUUCUGUUAUAUGAACGAGGUUAAUGACUCAUGUGGCCUCAUUGGGCAGCUAAGAGGCGCCAACGAGAGUUUCUGGGAGGACUUCUGUAAAAUGCAAGGGGCUGAGCACGCGAGAGUUAGGGUGAUGGCCUCUGCUGGGAAGUGUCCACUUACGGGGGGCUUUUCAAACCCUUGCAAACUCUAAACGACGUUCUGCGCCCCUCAGGUUAUUAAUAAGAAUGGCUGCCGUGGCUUCAUAGUCCUUAUGUAAUCAUUGCAUCCCUAUUACCUGAUGGAUGCAGGAGGCAGAUACUAUCCUAUUUCACAAACCAGGAAACAGCCUGAGGACACAAAACCCUUCAGAAGGAAGCAAGGACGAAUCCUGACCCGUUCCCAGAACGGGGCCUUUAACCAACAUCCUUUGGUCAUACCCAGGGCACUGCCUAAACUCGCGUCUGUCAGGAUAUCUUUCUCUCCAAGCAGAAAACCAGAGAGCUGGGUGGGCUGGGUCAGGCUCUGGCCAAGGACUCCUGACAAUUGCCAGCUCCGCCUGCUGCCACUGAUACCCCCGCCCCCUAGUCCAGUCCACCGUUUCUGACCUGAGCGGCAGCAACUCGAUAGGGACUCCCUGCUUCCCCUCUUGAAGCCAGAGAGACCUUAUAACUAGAAUCGGUGUCUUGGGUCACGCCUCUCCUCUGCUGCUUCUAAUCACA
RNAcentral lists this long non-coding RNA (850 nucleotides) under Homo sapiens (human). RNAcentral's name for it is "HSALNT0405741". The record is from RNAcentral. Lineage: Eukaryota; Metazoa; Chordata; Mammalia; Primates; Hominidae.